AUCUUAAAAAAAAAUAACCUUAGUUAAAGGACUUUACAAUGCAAAGAGAAUGCAAAAUAAAUGGUCAUAUUCAGUCACUAAGUAACAGAGUGGGCUUGUGUGUCAUAGUGGUUGUCAGGUUGUAAUAAAUGUCACCAACAUAAUUGUGUGCUCUCAAAAUGACUGUGCCUAAUCUUUUAGGUCCUAAAUCUAGAAAUGCACUUUUUCUUCAAAGUAGAAAAAUUAGUAAUUAUAACAUUUAUUGUACUUUUACCAGAUCUGAGAUCUAUACUAAAUACAUAUACUUUACAUUCAUGUAGAGUUGGCUCUGGGUGUUAAACACAAGUCAUUCAGAUGCUUUUACUAAGACAUCUCACUGGCCCAAAAUCAUAGAUACAGAACUAUGUUAGAAGGAUCCAGUUAUUCAUUUUCCCUCUCUCUUCUCCCUUCUUCUGUUUUUUCUUUCCUUAGAUCUUCCCUGGGAUGGAAUGUACAUGCUCUGUGCACUCCUACAAAGAGAUCCAUAUGCUCCACCUGCUGAAGAGACUAUUAUCGUCGGAUGGAGAAGCGGGCACCCUGUUCCCUCUGCAGAAGUGCCUCUAUUGGCCAAGUUGGCUGCUGUUUUACAAGUCAAAAGCUGGCCUUUCAACUGCCAGCCUGCAGCUCCCACGUGAGACUGGAAAAUUGAGCUGCUCUCUCUCCCUGCAGUGACCCACUGAGUAAUAAAGGUUUGCCCAGUUGC
Non-coding RNA from Rattus norvegicus (Norway rat), 721 nucleotides. NCBI's taxonomy places the organism in Eukaryota, Metazoa, Chordata, Mammalia, Rodentia, Muridae. The record is from RefSeq and is a predicted model, not a curated record.